RNAcentral lists this long non-coding RNA (1379 nucleotides) under Malus domestica (apple). RNAcentral's name for it is "long non-coding RNA (MDOM_LNC013560)". Lineage: Eukaryota; Viridiplantae; Streptophyta; Magnoliopsida; Rosales; Rosaceae. The record is from RNAcentral.
AGCAGCUUAAUGUGCCACAAGAGCUUUCGGUGGAGGACAAGCUCGCUAAAUUGUUGGAAUUAACUGACUUAUACAUUGAAAUAACAAAUGAAGGAUUUCAAAUUCAAGCAGUAAACCGUGGGAAAAGCUAUGAUGAUCAAGAGGUUGGUGCAGGAACUGAGGAGCCAUCUGUCUGUUAUUCACGUCCAAAGGAGGAAACAGCCCAUGAUGACCUUGAAAAUUCCAUAGAAUCUGCUCCUUCAAAAGUCUGUGUGCCACUCAUGCACUAUCCCGAGACUCCAAGGCGACCCGCUAAGCAGCAAGAAUGCAUGAAUACUCUGACAAAUCUAAAUAUAGGACAGCUGCUUACUGAUUAGAAAAUUUUAGCGGCGGUAACGGACAGUGCACCUGCACAGCCCAUCAAAUUCAAAGAAAUGCCAGAUGAGUCCUGCAAACAGGCAAAGAUCCACAAGGAAACAAAGAAAAAGCUUAAUGGCAACCUAAUUCUUCGUCAAGAAAUUCGGCCAAUGCAGAAAUUGUGGGUGUCAAAUACAAGGUUUAAGUCAGUUCGACGAAGACGUAAACAUUGCUGGAAGGGAUCCUAUUUUAUUACAACAUUUCAUUCAUAUAGAAGGGCUAAUAUGAAGGAUUCAACCACUUCCCUGAAACACAUAAUUGACAAACAUCAUCUCAUUCCGUACCUACUGUUGUUGUAUGAUGCUAUCAAGGAGUGGUUGAUUAUAAGAGAACAAGUGACGUGAUUAUCAAUUCAUUCCUCUACGUCUAGCUAUAGACAUUAACUACAGCGCUUAUUGGGAGGCAACCCAAUUUUUCUAAACUCUUUUCUUUUUAUUUUCGUUCAUUUUAUUUUCUUCCUUCUAGUCUUUAUCACAAAAAAAAAACAAAAACAAAACAAAAAAAUCAGAAAAUUGAAAAACACAAAAACAGCAAUUGUUUUUCGUUAAUCAGUAUUUUAUUUUGGGAUUUACUCGAAUUAGAUUUUUAAUCUGUGUUUUUUUUUUUUUUUUUUUUUUUUUGCAGGUUGCAUUUGGACUCGAAGGGCCCUAAAUAUCCAUUAAGCGCGCAAAAUUCAACUGAAUCAUGCUUUUAGCAGCAUUUGGGGUCAUCACUGGUGGCGAAUAAAAUUGUUACCUCUGCAUGACUCGGGUCCGCGAUGUCCUCAAUGUUUGUUUUGUCCUUGCUAUUGUUCAGCUCCAGCUCGAUAACCUUUGCACCCUAACGAGAUGUACAGAUUUUACACAUGCGGUGAAGUUAUAUGAGACAUGCAGUAAGAGAUCAGUUAUGGAGGGUUGUGAGUUUACCUUUUUGUGUUUCGGAUCUGAGCUAAUCGAGUGUUGUUUUUCCUUUUGCCCAUUAUGACUUCUGCGGAUCCGACAUCC